Dermacentor albipictus is the source of this 699-nucleotide long non-coding RNA. RefSeq lists it as uncharacterized. The record is from RefSeq and is a predicted model, not a curated record. Lineage: Eukaryota; Metazoa; Arthropoda; Arachnida; Ixodida; Ixodidae.
CUACCCAUGAAAACGACACUUGCUCUCGCAGCGCACGUUGCAUUUAUCUUACACAGGCAACGCUAACGUAUUUUGUGAUAUAUUGCCAAUGCAACACCAGUGCUUUUUAAUCAGCGUAAACUCGCUCAGUGAUAGAUUAUUUUGCCAUUGCUAUCUUGCUGUUUCGACGCAUGGCAGGUAUAGCAAGAGCGAAUUCAGGUUCAAGGCCUGUACUGCCGGUACGCAGAUAACGGAAUGAGCAGUGGCUAUAUAUAUGGGAUUGCACGUCGGCACGCAAACAAAAUCCCGCGCGCUGCCGUGCAUUCAAGGGAGCCAGCCGCGGAUCCGUUCCAGCCUGCGAGAUGAAGUCCGCCACCGCUGCACUGAUGCUCCUGUUGCUACUGUUCUCGGCAUCUGUUCCAGUCAUGGCUCGGUGUCCCAGCAACGAAGGCGUCUUCAGUGACUGUGCCUACACCGAGUGCUCGCCGGGCGAGUGUGCCGCUAUCGGCCUCGAAUGUUGCCCAAAGCCUUGCGGGGGAACCUGGUGUGUCAGAGGUGUUCUGCGCUAGCCGCCAAAGCCGUUGUGGUACUAUGGCACUGACUGCCGUCAUUUCCUAUAACGCCUGCAUACAGACCAUGGCGCCUUUACUCCGCUUCUGGUGGAGAAAAUAAACGCCUAGCACAAGACAUCCGUUUCUGUCUUUGCUAUGUUAUCACUGU